AGUGAACGCUGGCGGUAGGCCUAACACAUGCAAGUCGAACGGCAGCACAGUAAGAGCUUGCUCUUACGGGUGGCGAGUGGCGGACGGGUGAGGAAUACAUCGGAAUCUACUUUUUCGUGGGGGAUAACGUAGGGAAACUUACGCUAAUACCGCAUACGACCUACGGGUGAAAGCAGGGGAUCUUCGGACCUUGCGCGAUUGAAUGAGCCGAUGUCGGAUUAGCUAGUUGGCGGGGUAAAGGCCCACCAAGGCGACGAUCCGUAGCUGGUCUGAGAGGAUGAUCAGCCAAACUGGAACUGAGACACGGUCCAGACUCCUACGGGAGGCAGCAGUGGGGAAUAUUGGACAAUGGGCGCAAGCCUGAUCCAGCCAUACCGCGUGGGUGAAGAAGGCCUUCGGGUUGUAAAGCCCUUUUGUUGGGAAAGAAAAGCAGCAGGUUAAUAACCCGCUGUUCUGACGGUACCCAAAGAAUAAGCACCGGCUAACUUCGUG
Molecule: ribosomal RNA, 492 nt
Filed under: uncultured bacterium
Lineage: Bacteria
Description: partial 16S ribosomal RNA
Rfam family: Bacterial small subunit ribosomal RNA
Source: RNAcentral